Molecule: long non-coding RNA, 537 nt
Organism: Astatotilapia calliptera (eastern happy)
Lineage: Eukaryota; Metazoa; Chordata; Actinopteri; Cichliformes; Cichlidae
Source: Ensembl
UUCUGAAAAUGUUCCAAGUAAAACUGUGUUUGCAAAGGUGAAGAGGGGCUAUUUAUAGACUUUUGUGGCAGCGAAUUUGACGUCAGCGCUCUUUGAGCCUUUGAUCCUUUGUUUCAUCACAGGAUCACAUGACAGCUGUGCGUAAUUCUGCGCAUACUCAGAGAAUACCCAUUGUGACGCACGGUUUUGUUUUGAAUUUUUUUUUAAAUACCCUGAAAACAGUCCAAACAGUGUUUCCAACUUAGCGAUUUUGUCGCUAUAUUUAGGGAGUUUUCAAACCCCCCUUAGCCGUCGUUUUUUUUUUUUUUUCUAAAAAGCGACUUGCGACAAAUCUGGCGGCUUUUUCUGGUGUUAUUGGAGGCUUAUUUAUGACGACUUUUGACGUGAAAGCGCUUGUUGCUCUUACUCUCAACAAGCAGCGGGUGCUGCCGUGGGCACCUCGCUCGUGCCAAAGCGCUCACAGGCGGAGGAUAGUCCUCCUCCAGCCGCUGUCAGGGCAGGAGAUGUUCACGUGCGUCCAAACUGCAAAUGAAUCGC